AUUGGAGCCGUAAACUUUAGGAAUACCGGUCUCAUUGUUAUUUGGUGAACCGUUGGACACAGUACUUUGUGUUUUAUGUCUAUUGGUUCAGUAAAUAAUGGCACAUUU
Molecule: small nucleolar RNA, 108 nt
Organism: Lolium perenne
Lineage: Eukaryota; Viridiplantae; Streptophyta; Magnoliopsida; Poales; Poaceae
Product: small nucleolar RNA snoR74
Source: RefSeq, a predicted model, not a curated record